UGUCCAGACUCCUACGGGAGGCAGCAGUGGGGAAUAUUGCACAAUGGGGGAAACCCUGAUGCAGCGACGCCGCGUGAGUGAAGAAGUAAUUCGUUAUGUAAAGCUCUAUCAGCAGGGAAGAAAAUGACGGUACCUGAGUAAGAAGCCCCGGCUAACUACGUGCCAGCAGCCGCGGUAAUACGUAGGGGGCAAGCGUUAUCCGGAUUUACUGGGUGUAAAGGGCGUGUAGGCGGGGAAGCAAGUCAGAUGUGAAAACCACGGGCUCAACCUGUGGCCUGCAUUUGAAACUGUUUUUCUUGAGUGCUGGAGAGGCAAUCGGAAUUCCGUGUGUAGCGGUGAAAUGCGUAGAUAUACGGAGGAACACCAGUGGCGAAGGCGGCCUGCUGGACUGCAACUGACGUUGAGGCCCGAAAGCGUGGGGAGCAAACAGGAUUAGAUACCCUAGUAAA
RNAcentral lists this ribosomal RNA (449 nucleotides) under uncultured bacterium. RNAcentral's name for it is "bacterial SSU rRNA". It matches the Rfam family "Bacterial small subunit ribosomal RNA", at positions 328 to 794 of the family's 1533-position model. The record is from RNAcentral.